Molecule: long non-coding RNA, 601 nt
Organism: Camelus dromedarius (Arabian camel)
Lineage: Eukaryota; Metazoa; Chordata; Mammalia; Artiodactyla; Camelidae
Exons: 3
Source: RefSeq, a predicted model, not a curated record
AGCCUGGGCUGGCGUUCCUCGCCCCGUUACUGCCCCCUCGCUCCAAAGCAGCACGUCGCAGAAGUGCCCGAAUAAGAAUCGAUAGAUUAACAGAGGCGGAAAUGGAGAUACAGAGAGUUUGCUACCUGAUCAUGUAGCUAGAGGUGGAAGACGAGGAUUUGAACUCAGGUUUCCUGAAUCUAAAUCUUGGUGAUGUUUAAUCUAAGGUGUACUACAUCCUGAGAGCUAGCUGGCAUCUUUUGCCAGAAUCCCUCUCCCUGCAUGGCUCUGGGUGUGCUCUGGCAGGAAGAGGCACGUGUGCAGGAAUCAGGCAGUGGAGGUGAGCAGUGGCCACACUCACCGUGGUGGACCUCGUUGGAUGUGGUGGCAGCGAGACGCAGAGGUGUCAGUGGCACCUGGGGGAGCUUUGCUCUCUUCGACUCCAUGUCCAGUCUCCCCCAGACACUUGUGGCAGAUGCAUGGAGGCAGCAGUCCCCUGGUGUCUCCUCCGCCAGUUCCCCCUUCCCAGUCCCACUUGGCCUCCCAGAUCCACUGGCCAAUGAGCCAUCUGACCCUCCCUCUCCCCUGUCCUGACCUUCCUUCUCAGUGGUGUAAGAUCAAA